AGAAGCAAAACAAGUGAUGUGGAGGCAAAAACUCAAAAANACGGUCUCAGUUCGGACUGAAGGCUGAAAUUCGCCUUCACGAAGUCGGAAUUGCUAGUAAUGGCAGGUCAGCAUACUGCCGUGAAUACGUUCCCGGGCCUUGUACACACCGCCCGUCACACCAUGAGAGUUAGGAAUACCCGAAGCCUGUGAGCUAACUUUUAGAGGCAGCAGUCGAAGGUAGAACUAAUGAUUGGGGUGAAGUCGUAACAAGGUACC
RNAcentral lists this ribosomal RNA (258 nucleotides) under uncultured bacterium. RNAcentral's name for it is "partial 16S ribosomal RNA". It matches the Rfam family "Bacterial small subunit ribosomal RNA", at positions 1245 to 1500 of the family's 1533-position model. The record is from RNAcentral.